Molecule: ribosomal RNA, 381 nt
Filed under: Triticum aestivum (bread wheat)
Lineage: Eukaryota; Viridiplantae; Streptophyta; Magnoliopsida; Poales; Poaceae
Description: partial small subunit ribosomal RNA
Source: RNAcentral
GAUUGGUUGGUGUGCAGGUUUGGAGCUUUGAUUCUCCCAAAUCUGUAAGCACUCUGCCUGGGCACUCGAAAUCACUGAACUGCCUUGCUUUCUUCAUAUGUCAAGAUCAAGAAUUUUUGGUUACCGGCUCAGAUGAUCAUAAUGCCAAGAUAUGGUACUUGCAGGAGAACAUAUGUGCAUAUACACUUGAAGCUUUCACAUCGCCAGUUAGGUCUGUCCUAUAUCAGCCCAAUCUUCAUACUCUAAUUAUAGGUUCAGAUGAUGGUGCUAUUUAUUUGUGGAGCACAAAAAAUUGCAGGACAUAUUCAGACCCCCCUACGCUUACAAGAAUCAUCAAUAUUGGUUGUAUUGGAGCUGUCUACCAUCUUGCAAGUGCGAUGG